UAAAUUAGUUCUGCCCAAUGAUUUAAUUAUUUAAUGGCUGCGGUAUUUUAACUGUGCGAAGGUAGCAUAAUUAUUAGUUUAUUAAUUGUAAACUUGUAUGAAUGGUUAGUUGAAAUUUAGUCUUUCUUUAAUUUUAUUUUUUSAAUUUAGAUUUUUUGUUAAAAUGCGAAAAUUCUUUUAUAAGACGAGAAGACCCUAUAAAACUUUAUAUAUUUAUUUAGUUUAAAUCUAUUUGGUAUAUUGGAUUGGGGAGAUUGUGGAAUUUUAUUAACUUUCAUUAUUUUUGUUUCAUUGAUUGUUGUUUUCUUGAUUUAAUUUUAUGAAUAUAAGAUAAAGUUACUUUAGGGAUAACAGCGUUAUUUAGUUGAGAGUUCUUAUUGAUAACUAUUUUGCGCCUCG
RNAcentral lists this ribosomal RNA (399 nucleotides) under Nannocoris sp. Nic 6292. Its description in RNAcentral is "partial 16S ribosomal RNA". The record is from RNAcentral. Lineage: Eukaryota; Metazoa; Arthropoda; Insecta; Hemiptera; Schizopteridae.